AUUGAACGCUGGCGGCAUGCCUUACACAUGCAAGUCGAACGGCAGCACGGGUGCUUGCACCUGGUGGCGAGUGGCGAACGGGUGAGUAAUACAUCGGAACAUGUCCUGUAGUGGGGGAUAGCCCGGCUAAAGCCGGAUUAAUACCGCAUACGAUCUACGGAUGAAAGCGGGGGACCUUCGGGCCUCGCGCUAUAGGGUUGGCCGAUGGCUGAUUAGCUAGUUGGUGGGGUAAAGGCCUACCAAGGCGACGAUCAGUAGCUGGUCUGAGAGGACGACCAGCCACACUGGGACUGAGACACGGCCCAGACUCCUACGGGAGGCAGCAGUGGGGAAUUUUGGACAAUGGGCGAAAGCCUGAUCCAGCAAUGCCGCGUGUGUGAAGAAGGCCUUCGGGUUGUAAAGCACUUUUGUCCGGAAAGAAAUCCUUGGCCCUAAUACGGUCGGGGGAUGACGGUACCGGAAGAAUAAGCACCGGCUAACUACGUG
RNAcentral lists this ribosomal RNA (486 nucleotides) under uncultured bacterium. Its description in RNAcentral is "partial 16S ribosomal RNA". It matches the Rfam family "Bacterial small subunit ribosomal RNA", at positions 30 to 507 of the family's 1533-position model. The record is from RNAcentral.